UGGAAGACAAGUGAUUUUGUUGU
Molecule: microRNA, 23 nt
Filed under: Drosophila melanogaster (fruit fly)
Lineage: Eukaryota; Metazoa; Arthropoda; Insecta; Diptera; Drosophilidae
Also listed under: 1 other name
Description: piRNA piR-dme-19059175
Source: RNAcentral